This 598-nucleotide long non-coding RNA is filed under the name Sinocyclocheilus anshuiensis. RNAcentral's name for it is "lncRNA (ENSSANG00000051353.1)". The record is from RNAcentral. Lineage: Eukaryota; Metazoa; Chordata; Actinopteri; Cypriniformes; Cyprinidae.
GUUAGUUGUGGGCGGGGCCCCAAACGACAGCUUGGUCCACUAAUCGCAAAAGCAAUUAAUUUUAUUUUCUUAAACAAACAAAGAAAAAUAUAUAGAAAAUUGGUAAAUAUAUAACAUACAAAUAUGAAUUGAUUAAAAAUUAAGUUUGUUUUAUUCUUAAUAACUUCGCUGGCACAUGGCAUUAAAUUUCACGCGGGAAGUGGCCUAUUUGAGGCCUACUCGAUUAUUUAGUUAGCAUUUAGGCACAAAGACACAAAUUUAUAUCAUAGUCGGAUAAAUGUUGAAGUAAGAAGAUGAAAUUACCAAAAAAUGACGCUUUCUUCAGUUUCACUGUGGAAAGACCGCGAAGUGAAGUAUACACGCCGUGGUUUCUGUGGAUGGCCCGCGUGUCUUCAGCAGCGGCAGAAUCCUCUGAGGAACUGGCCUGACUCAUCUGCAUCUGUGACAGGUCAUGUCCAUGAGCUGGAGUGGAUAACCCAAAGCGCCCAAACCGGCCCACUAACACUCAAAUCCAUGUUUAAAGAUGCUGUCAGGAAAGGAAAUGCAUGGAAAAGUUGCUACCAGACUGGCAUUGUUUCUGGAGCUUAUGAUGCAGACA